CGUGACGUAGGAUAGGGGAUCACGUGAUAAGGACGGUUAUUCUGCCUUGCUUUGGUCGGGGUAUUCGGGAACCGUUCGGUCGUUAUUUUCGUGUUUUUUUUCUGUGUUUGGAGCCCGAUUAGUUCACGCGUGGAUCGGCUUCGGCAGCCGUCGUGCUCAGGAAGCAAUGGUGAAGUACUGUUCGGUGCCGCAAUGCUGCAGUUACGCGACCGACCCGAACGUCAGCUUUCACAUCUACCCCAAGGAGAAGCAGCUGCGCACGGAGUGGCUUGUGAAGUUGAGAAUGGGCAAAUUAAACUCCAAGAGCUCGACAGUGUGCAGCAAGCACUUUAGAGAUGAAGACUUCGUGUAUGCGGUUGGAGCGAAGAUGUUUGGCUGAAAAAAAAGGGCACUCGCCCCAGGAACCGCGCCGUCAAAGAAUCUGCCUUUACGGCCACUGGACAAGCCCCCGAAGCUGCGACAGCCCCUGAAGCCGCGGGCAGGUGUGGACACAUGCAAGCCUCGCCCCAAGGAUGACCUGCCAGCAGCAGUUACAUUGGCAGGGCUGAACUCCGAAGAAGCCAGCACCAGUGAGGGUUUGAUUGAGCAGGAACUACCCAACCAGGAUGCCGAUGCUGCAGAUCCCAUUGGUCUUCAGGCUGAACUUCACACCUUGAAGAAAGAUGUCGGAAGUCAAGCG
RNAcentral lists this long non-coding RNA (679 nucleotides) under Ixodes scapularis (black-legged tick). Its description in RNAcentral is "uncharacterized LOC120838222". The record is from RNAcentral. Lineage: Eukaryota; Metazoa; Arthropoda; Arachnida; Ixodida; Ixodidae.